UAUCAUUAUCCUGAGUGCCUUCCUAGUUAGUAUACUGGCCAUUCAUGGUACUUUUUGGUGAGGGGUGGUUUAUAAUAGCCUCCAUAGCAGGCUCUCUAUGGACUUUUUUGGCACUUUUGCUGGCCAUUUCUUUUUGUACUGGGCCAGCAAUAAGGGAGCCCUAAUUAAGUCACUAGGAUCUCUUCCUUUCUCUCUGUCAGUCAGUCUAUACAGACUAUGACAUUUUUCUACGCAAAAAGAACCUAAGCGACAAAGACGACUAGAACUAGGAUACACACAAAGAUAUGCCCUUUAUGAAACCUUUACCAUUCUGUUACAUAUAAUACAACUUGUAUGUUUUAUAUAUCGUUUUGUGUGGCGGGAUUAACCUUGUAUUUGUUGGUUACCUUACAGUUUCGUUUCAAAGCCAUUUGCUAAGUUACGCACAUUCGAUUAAAACCAGUUCAUAUACAUGUAUUUUCAUAUACAAUGUAUCUGUUGUAUCUUUUUGUAUUGUAUGGAUGACAUUUUUUCACACGUCUAUGUUGUCCAUUUCCAAAAAGAAAAUGCUGUAAAUCAUAAAAAAUAUGUAAAAUGAGCACAUACAUGCCUUCAAAUUUCAAUUAAAAACAACAUUAUCAGGAACGGAUACUAUUAUUGUAGAAUACAAAAAAUAGAAAAAAAGAAAAUCUAUGGUUAGGUAUAAUGUUUACUCAAUGUCUCUAAUCAAUUGUUCAAUCUUCCUGAUCUCUUAGAUUUCAUAUUGAAUGCAAAUUUUAAUUUCUUACUUGCAUCAUUAACGGUAACGUUAUAUAUAGUAAAUCUACCACACUUGUGGAUUUCAUCCAUAGCUCAUCAAAAUUGGAUACUAAAGUGAUUUCUACACAGCUGCUUCAACAUUGGUCACCAAAUCUGUAUCUUACACAUCGAUGUACUUCAAAGAGUAAAUAGUUUUUAUCAUUUCG
Long non-coding RNA from Branchiostoma floridae (Florida lancelet), 944 nucleotides. RefSeq lists it as uncharacterized. Lineage: Eukaryota; Metazoa; Chordata; Leptocardii; Amphioxiformes; Branchiostomatidae. The transcript has 2 exons. The record is from RefSeq and is a predicted model, not a curated record.